GACAGAGGGGGCAAGCGUUGCUCGGAAUCACUGGGCGUAAAGGGCGCGUAGGCGGGAUGGCAAGUCGGUCGUGAAAUCCUUCGGCUCAACCGAAGAACGUCGGCCGAUACUGCCGUUCUUGAGGGAUGCAGAGGAGAUUGGAAUUCCCGGUGUAGCGGUGAAAUGUGUAGAGAUCGGGAGGAACACCAGUGGCGAAGGCGGCUCACUGGUCCGGUACUGACGCUGAGGUGCGAAAGCGUGGGGAGCAAACAGG
This 253-nucleotide ribosomal RNA is filed under the name uncultured bacterium. RNAcentral describes it as "partial 16S ribosomal RNA". It matches the Rfam family "Bacterial small subunit ribosomal RNA", at positions 524 to 776 of the family's 1533-position model. The record is from RNAcentral.